RNAcentral lists this ribosomal RNA (484 nucleotides) under uncultured bacterium. RNAcentral's name for it is "partial 16S ribosomal RNA". It matches the Rfam family "Bacterial small subunit ribosomal RNA", at positions 30 to 507 of the family's 1533-position model. The record is from RNAcentral.
AUUGAACGCUGGCGGCAGGCCUAACACAUGCAAGUCGAGCGGAUGAAGGGAGCUUGCUCCUGGAUUCAGCGGCGGACGGGUGAGUAAUGCCUAGGAAUCUGCCUGGUAGUGGGGGAUAACGUCCGGAAGCGGGCGCUAAUACCGCAUACGUCCUGAGGGAGAAAGUGGGGGAUCUUCAGACCUCACGCUAUCAGAUGAGCCUAGGUCGGAUUAGCUAGUUGGUGGGGUAAAGGCCUACCAAGGCGACGAUCCGUAACUGGUCUGAGAGGAUGAUCAGUCACACUGGAACUGAGACACGGUCCAGACUCCUACGGGAGGCAGCAGUGGGGAAUAUUGGACAAUGGGCGAAAGCCUGAUCCAGCCAUGCCGCGUGUGUGAAGAAGGUCUUCGGAUUGUAAAGCACUUUAAGUUGGGAGGAAGGGCAGUAAGUUAAUACCUUGCUGUUUUGACGUUACCAACAGAAUAAGCACCGGCUAACUUCGUG